UACGUAGGGGGCUAGCGUUGUCCGGAAUCAUUGGGCGUAAAGCGCGUGUAGGCGGUUCGGUAAGUCCGCUGUGAAAGUCGGGGGCUCAACCCUCGGAUGCCGGUGGAUACUGUCGAGCUUGAGUACGGAAGAGGCGAGUGGAAUUCCUGGUGUAGCGGUGAAAUGCGCAGAUAUCAGGAAGAACACCCGUGGCGAAGGCGGCUCUCUGGGACGGUACUGACGCUGAGGUGCGAAAGCGUGGGGAGCAAACAGG
Molecule: ribosomal RNA, 253 nt
Filed under: uncultured bacterium
Lineage: Bacteria
Description: partial 16S ribosomal RNA
Rfam family: Bacterial small subunit ribosomal RNA
Source: RNAcentral